Molecule: ribosomal RNA, 393 nt
Filed under: Escherichia coli
Lineage: Bacteria; Pseudomonadati; Pseudomonadota; Gammaproteobacteria; Enterobacterales; Enterobacteriaceae
Description: bacterial SSU rRNA
Rfam family: Bacterial small subunit ribosomal RNA
Source: RNAcentral
ACUCUAGACAGACUGCCUGCGCAAGCAGUGAGGAAGGCGGGGACGACGUCAGGUCAUCAUGGCCCUUACGCCUAGGGCUACACACGUGCUACAAUGGACGGUACAGCGGGUUGCCAACCAGCGAUGGUGCGCCAAUCCCGAAAAGCCGUUCUCAGUUCGGAUCGGAGUCUGCAACUCGACUCCGUGAAGCUGGAAUCACUAGUAAUCGCGUAUCAGCAAUGACGCGGUGAAUACGUUCCCGGGCCUUGUACACACCGCCCGUCAAGCCAUGGAAGUUUGGUAGACCUGAAGCCGGUGCUCGUCACAGAAGCCGGUUAGGGUAGAACAGGUAACUAGGGCUAAGUCGUAACAAGGUAGCCGUACCGGAAGGUGCGGCUGGAUCACCUCCUUUCU